UAGCUCAGUUGGUAGAGUGAUAGCCUUGCAUGCAGAAGACCCUGGGUUCAAUCCCCAG
This 58-nucleotide transfer RNA is filed under the name Ictidomys tridecemlineatus (thirteen-lined ground squirrel). Its description in RNAcentral is "Spermophilus tridecemlineatus (thirteen-lined ground squirrel) tRNA". It matches the Rfam family "tRNA", at positions 8 to 63 of the family's 71-position model. From Rfam's summary of the family: Transfer RNA (tRNA) molecules are approximately 80 nucleotides in length. Their secondary structure includes four short double-helical elements and three loops (D, anti-codon, and T loops). Further hydrogen bonds mediate the characteristic L-shaped molecular structure. tRNAs have two regions of fundamental functional importance: the anti-codon, which is responsible for specific mRNA codon recognition, and the 3' end, to which the tRNAs corresponding amino acid is attached (by aminoacyl-tRNA synthetases). tRNAs cope with the degeneracy of the genetic code in two manners: having more than one tRNA (with a specific anti-codon) for a particular amino acid; and 'wobble' base-pairing, i.e. permitting non-standard base-pairing at the 3rd anti-codon position. Lineage: Eukaryota; Metazoa; Chordata; Mammalia; Rodentia; Sciuridae. The record is from Rfam by way of RNAcentral.